UUUUUCCCCUUUUUUUAAUUUUUUGUAAUUAGUUGUUUGCAACGGCGUUGUGUUAGAAGAAGAAUGUGAGUUUUUUUCCUUUUUAUUGAGCAAUUUUUUUUUUUGCAAAUUACAGAAUCCGUAACAUAAUGUUACGAGGACUCUUUUUGACCGAACAAUCUGUAAUAUCAAACUGAAAUAAAUGAUUGAAAUUUGAUAUAGAAUACGUUGUCCGAAAU
Molecule: long non-coding RNA, 218 nt
Filed under: Phaseolus vulgaris (common bean)
Lineage: Eukaryota; Viridiplantae; Streptophyta; Magnoliopsida; Fabales; Fabaceae
Description: long non-coding RNA (PVUL_LNC003661)
Source: RNAcentral